Molecule: long non-coding RNA, 862 nt
Filed under: Mytilus galloprovincialis (Mediterranean mussel)
Lineage: Eukaryota; Metazoa; Mollusca; Bivalvia; Mytilida; Mytilidae
Source: RNAcentral
CUGUGCAAUUUUGGUCUCUUGUGGAGCGAUGUCUCAUUGGCAAUUAUAUCACAUCUUCUUCUUUAUAUAAUAUGAAAAGGCGUUCCAUUUCAAUUCAACUCUAUUGUCGAAAAUAUAACUAUAAUUAUAAUUGGUUGUUACUGCUUCCGAAAUGUUCUGCUUACACUCCUCCCUGCUGAGCUAACUAUAGAAAUGAGAUAUAACUAGAUUAUUAGCAAGCUUAAUACGCUUUUGCUUAUAGGGAAAAUAACGCCACUCAAUCAUGUCUUAGCCUUUCAUACGUGAUUAGAAAGAUUAUUCCCGUUCUAUACAUUUCAAAAGUCAUUAUCGCUGUUGCCAUUAUCAUUAUUACAGUAGUAACGUCAAGGGCUGCAGGCUAUAUUCUUUUCUAUUCCUGAUUGACAUUACAGGUCUCCGAAAAAAACGACAACAAUAGAUGAUAAUUCUCGGAAAAGGGAAACUUGUAACAAGGUUCAAACCACCAUUUUCUACAAUUGAAAAUGCCUGUACCAAUUCCGGAAUGUGACAGUUAUUGUCCAUUCGUUCGAGGUGUUUUAUUUUAUGGUUUCGCCCUGGUCGCACACUUUGGGACUAUUUUUUUUAUUUUUAAAAUGUCUUGUAGCAAAAUAUGAAAUUUUGAAGUUGAAAUCAAAGUGUCCUUUUUCUGAAUGUUGACGUUUGUUUUCUUUUUUUUUUUCGAAUUUCAGUGUUAUGUUUUAUUCGUUUUUUCAUCUUUUACAUAUUUAGUUGAUGUGUUUCCCUCGAUUUUGGUUUGUUACCCGGAUUUGUUUCAGAUCAUCGAUUUUUUACUAUCGAACAUCGGUAUACUAUUAUAGUCUAUAUUUAUGUUAUCAAAUGCUUG